This 505-nucleotide unclassified non-coding RNA is filed under the name Hevea brasiliensis (rubber tree). The record is from RNAcentral. Lineage: Eukaryota; Viridiplantae; Streptophyta; Magnoliopsida; Malpighiales; Euphorbiaceae.
UCCCGGAAGAGAAACUGCCUACUAAGGUUGCUCUUUUCAAUAACAUCAUCAUCUGUAAUUGUCAGCUUCCCUUUCUCAUGACAAGAAACCCCCAUCAAAGCCAAAAAGCCAAAUUCUUCAAGAACUCACACCCAAGGGCACCAGAUCCUACCAUAAAAACGUUAGCAUCUUCAAGUUUUUUCUGAAGCUUAGACCCAAAGACUGAAAUUUGUGCAUCAUAACGGCUAUUCAAGGGCUUUAAGUCAUUGGGAUCCAAUGGUUCAGUGGGGAGGGACUCCACCGAGUCAAAAUAGAAAAACUGAAAAAGAGGAUGAAACUUCCCAGAGCAGGCCUUCACAACUUCCUGUCCAACAAUACCACCAAACAUAGCAGCCAUGGGAUUAAGGACAGCCCUAGCACCAAAUGCAAAAUGGUGCAGAAUUUUUUGAUUAAUUUCUUCAAGCCUCCCAUCUGUUGAGUUAUCAUUGAUGCUGGUGACCAAAGAUAUCAAUUUUUGAGCAUCCUC